This 252-nucleotide ribosomal RNA is filed under the name uncultured bacterium. RNAcentral's name for it is "partial 16S ribosomal RNA". It matches the Rfam family "Bacterial small subunit ribosomal RNA", at positions 524 to 776 of the family's 1533-position model. RNAcentral also lists the same sequence under 1 other name. The record is from RNAcentral.
UACGGAAGGUCCAGGCGUUAUCCGGAUUUAUUGGGUUUAAAGGGAGCGUAGGCGGAUUGUUAAGUCAGCGGUUAAAGGGUGUGGCUCAACCAUGCAUUGCCGUUGAAACUGGCGAUCUUGAGUGCAGACAGGGAUGCCGGAAUUCGUGGUGUAGCGGUGAAAUGCUUAGAUAUCACGAAGAACUCCGAUCGCGAAGGCAGGUGUCCGGGCUGCAACUGACGCUGAGGCUCGAAAGUGUGGGUAUCAAACAGG